ACAAGGCAGUUGAGGGAGUGGCGGCCUCCGGUGGGAUCUUAGCCUGUGGGCUGGCGGCGCGGAGGGGAAGGCGCAGCGCGACCUCUCCUGACAGACAUCAGCGUGGGUCAACCGCGAGCCUGGAUCCCGAGUGACUGAGGGCUGUUACCUUCAAACCUUUGAAUCCCACGUUUUCCCAUUGACUUCCUGUCACCGUUAGAGAAAAGCGGACAGUGUCUCGGUCACAGAGUGGGAGAAAUAUCUCAGGGACUCUUCAGGGAAAGUGUUUUCCUCAUCAAAGCAAACCCCAAAAUCGCUUCUGCCGGCGUGGACCAACUGGAACCGAUGAGAGUCGGUCGUCGUGAGGGACACCCUCUGUUCCGUAGUGUACCCCGCUGCUUAUUUUUAAACGCUCGGUUGGCGGGAACCCGUAUGCCAGCUGAAACUCCUUCAGUUUGGCUGCCUAGGAAACAUCGAGAGUCACCUGCCUGGGCUGGCUGGACAAUAAAAACGGGAAAAAUUGUAAAAGACACAGUCUCCGCCCUCGAAGCUUACACCCUCGGGGCGAGACCUACAGGAAAGUAGAUAAUCCCAUUAUUCUCUGAUAAACGCCGAGCUGCUUGCUUGCCUGAGCUCUGGGAGCGGAUAGGGAGUAACCGGCUGUUCCCCGCGGCCUUGUUGAGAAAGCCUUCACCUGGGAGUGACACUUGCGCUGAAUCUUGAGCAUAAGAACGUGAAGAUAAUAGACGAGACAGCUACUCAGAAAACUAUGGGGAAGAAAAGAACGAUCAAAAUGCCUUUAAACAACUGCCCUCAGGAACAAGGUGUUGAAGACCUCCGAUGAUGAAGAUGUCCAUGCAGACAGGGCUGCCUGAUGUGGUCCAUUCGAUGUGGUUGGAAGGAGUGCUUUAUUUGAUGGUGUCCAAUAAACAAAGUCUCCAAGUUGGACACCGUGAUCUUUGAUGUCUCUAGCUGUUAAAAGAAUCCUCAGUUAACUUAGAAUUUUUAUUGAGAAGCUUGUAAGGCCUUGGCAAUA
Chlorocebus sabaeus (green monkey) is the source of this 1015-nucleotide long non-coding RNA. RefSeq lists it as uncharacterized. The record is from RefSeq and is a predicted model, not a curated record. Lineage: Eukaryota; Metazoa; Chordata; Mammalia; Primates; Cercopithecidae.